GACGAACGCUGGCGGCGUGCUUAACACAUGCAAGUCGAACGGAAAGGCUCCAGCUUGCUGGAGUACUCGAGUGGCGAACGGGUGAGUAACACGUGGGUAAUCUGCCCUGCACUCUGGGAUAAGCCUGGGAAACUGGGUCUAAUACUGGAUAUGACCUUUCUCCUUAUGGGGUUUGGUGGAAAGUUUUUCGGUGUAGGAUGAGCCCGCGGCCUAUCAGCUUGUUGGUGGGGUGAUGGCCUACCAAGGCGACGACGGGUAGCCGGCCUGAGAGGGUGAUCGGCCACAUUGGGACUGAGAUACGGCCCAGACUCCUACGGGAGGCAGCAGUGCGGAAUAUUGCACAAGGGGCGGAAGCCUGAUGCAGCGACGCCGCGUGAGGGAUGACGGCCUUCGGGUUGUAAACCUCUUUCAGCAGGGACGAAGCGUAAGGGACGGUACCUGCAGAAGAAGCACCGGCUAACUACGU
Molecule: ribosomal RNA, 466 nt
Filed under: uncultured bacterium
Lineage: Bacteria
Description: partial 16S ribosomal RNA
Rfam family: Bacterial small subunit ribosomal RNA
Source: RNAcentral